UGGGGGCUAGUGUAACGGUAGCACUGCAGACUCUGGAUCUGCCUGUCUAGGUUCGAAUCCUAGGCCCCCAGCCC
Molecule: transfer RNA, 74 nt
Filed under: Planctomycetota bacterium
Lineage: Bacteria; Pseudomonadati; Planctomycetota
Description: Planctomycetes bacterium (sediment metagenome) tRNA-Gln
Rfam family: tRNA
About the family: Transfer RNA (tRNA) molecules are approximately 80 nucleotides in length. Their secondary structure includes four short double-helical elements and three loops (D, anti-codon, and T loops). Further hydrogen bonds mediate the characteristic L-shaped molecular structure. tRNAs have two regions of fundamental functional importance: the anti-codon, which is responsible for specific mRNA codon recognition, and the 3' end, to which the tRNAs corresponding amino acid is attached (by aminoacyl-tRNA synthetases). tRNAs cope with the degeneracy of the genetic code in two manners: having more than one tRNA (with a specific anti-codon) for a particular amino acid; and 'wobble' base-pairing, i.e. permitting non-standard base-pairing at the 3rd anti-codon position.
Source: RNAcentral